UUCUUUUUACUUCAACAUCAUCUUAAUAAAAGUAUUAAAUCUGUUCUUAUCAGUUUAAUAUCUGAUAUGUCCUUUAUUUAAGGACUGUAUAUUAAAUUGAUUUUUGAAACAGGGGGAUGGAAUAGGAGCUUGCUCUAUCCACCCCAUGUAUUGACCUGGUAUUGCAGUGCUUCCAGGAACAGUGCAUUUCCU
Molecule: small nuclear RNA, 192 nt
Organism: Chelonia mydas (Green sea turtle)
Lineage: Eukaryota; Metazoa; Chordata; Testudines; Cheloniidae
Product: U2 spliceosomal RNA
Exons: 1
Source: RefSeq, a predicted model, not a curated record